RNAcentral lists this small RNA (29 nucleotides) under Bombyx mori (domestic silkworm). RNAcentral describes it as "ovarian small RNA-17362". Lineage: Eukaryota; Metazoa; Arthropoda; Insecta; Lepidoptera; Bombycidae. The record is from RNAcentral.
GGCAAGCUCGGCUGCGCCUUCGAGGUCCA